Molecule: long non-coding RNA, 786 nt
Filed under: Nicotiana benthamiana
Lineage: Eukaryota; Viridiplantae; Streptophyta; Magnoliopsida; Solanales; Solanaceae
Description: long non-coding RNA (NBEN_LNC014569)
Source: RNAcentral
AUCUUUUUUCGACAUUUGUUCAUUUCGUUCUAUCUCUACCUACAUGAUUGUUGCUUUUUUAUUAUGUAGAAUGGGUCCGUAGACACACCUCAUAUCAGUGCUCAUGACCACCUAAAUCUUUCUGUCUCACAUCCUAUCUAAUGCCUUAUAGUCCAUGUAUGCAUAUCUUGGUAAAUAGGUCACCGACCUGUUCCAGUGGUUGUUUCUUUUCAUUUCUGUCUGAUGAGUUUGUUGUUUUUCUCUGUUAUUUUCAGAAGCCUCCGCAAGAACUCAGAUGCAAAAUUAUGUCGCCUCAUCUGGCACUGUCAUUUUGUACAUUGACAAACUCUUCAUCUCAAGAAAUUUGGGUAUUGACUGGUGACCCUGAGCUGGAUGACAAAGCGCCAAUCGUUUAUUGUGAUUCGCCUCAAAUCACUAUUUACGUUAAUUUAAUAUCAUGCAAAACAUUUGUCCAAAUAUUUGAUUGUAACCUGUAACUAACUACAUCUUUAAUAGCAUGGAAAAUGAAAAAAAAAGCCCUAGAGCAAUUUGGGUAUUGACUGGUGACCCUAAACUGGAUGACAAAGCGCCAUUUGUUUAUCGUGAUUCGCCUCAAAUCACUAUUUACGUUAAUAUAUAAUCAUGCAAAACAUUUGUCCAAAUAUUUUAUUGUAACUUGGAACUAGCUUCAUCUUUAAGGGGCAAGUGCAUACAUAGCCAUACUCGGGUAUGCUAUUUAGAGACUAGCCAGUAUUUAUUUAUUUUUUUAAAUUUAAACUAAAAAUCUCAACUUCAGGACAAUUCAGG